Molecule: ribosomal RNA, 233 nt
Filed under: uncultured Meiothermus sp.
Lineage: Bacteria; Thermotogati; Deinococcota; Deinococci; Thermales; Thermaceae
Description: partial 16S ribosomal RNA
Rfam family: Bacterial small subunit ribosomal RNA
Source: RNAcentral
UUAGGAAUCUUCCGCAAUGGGCGAAAGCCUGACGGAGCGAUACCGCUUGAAGGACGAAGCCCUUCGGGGUGUAAACUUCUGAACUCGGGACGAUAAUGACGGUACCGAGGUAAUAGCACCGGCUAACUCCGUGCCAGCAGCCGCGGUAAUACGGAGGGUGCGAGCGUUACCCGGAUUUACUGGGUGUAAAGGGCGUGUAGGCGGUCUCUCAAGUCCGAUGCUAAAGACCGAAG